GUCUACAGCCAUGCCAUCCUGAACAAGCCCAAUCUCAUCUGAUCUCGGGAGCUAAGCAGUUUUGGGCCUGGUUAGUACUUGGAUGGGAGACCACCUAGGAAGAACAGGUGCUGUAGGCA
RNAcentral lists this ribosomal RNA (119 nucleotides) under Pteropus alecto (black flying fox). The record is from RNAcentral. Lineage: Eukaryota; Metazoa; Chordata; Mammalia; Chiroptera; Pteropodidae.